CAUGCUUGCUCUAUGGUUCCAGGUUCCAUGAAGUGAUAUGUUAUAAGACAUAUCGAUCUGCAACAGAAUCUGAGCAUUUUUUUUCCAGUCAGUGCUCAUGAAAAGGAAGUACAAAGAGUAAAGAGAGUUAAGGAAGAGAGCCUACCCAGUGUGGAAGCCAAUAGCAUAAAGCACAGCCUGGGAAAGAAGAUGACACAGGAGAGAAAGAAAGACUUAAUCAUAAUGAAAUGAUGCAACUCAUGAAUCCAACCAUGGCUGAAGACAUAAUUUUUCUGGAGGUUUCAUUGAUGAGCCAGCAUCAUCAGAUGAUCAUGGCUUCCAGAUUAUAUCACCUAAACAAUUGAAAUUGAGAUUAUGCACCUGAUUAAACAAGUCUUAGGAAAUAGAAAAAAAAAAAUGGAGGGUACCUCUUAUUUACAGAGUAUGUGUUUUCAACCUCAU
This is a long non-coding RNA of Herpailurus yagouaroundi (jaguarundi), 441 nucleotides long. RefSeq lists it as uncharacterized. The transcript has 3 exons. The record is from RefSeq and is a predicted model, not a curated record. Lineage: Eukaryota; Metazoa; Chordata; Mammalia; Carnivora; Felidae.